Molecule: ribosomal RNA, 503 nt
Filed under: uncultured organism
Description: SSU rRNA
Rfam family: Bacterial small subunit ribosomal RNA
Source: RNAcentral
GAUCCUGGCUCAGGAUGAACGCUAGCGGCAGGCUUAACACAUGCAAGUCGAGGGGCAGCAGUCUGUAGCAAUACGGAGCUGGCGACCGGCGCAAGGGUGCGUAACGCGUGAGCAACUUGCCCGUAACAGGAGGAUAACCGGAGGAAACUCCGACUAAUACUGCGUAGCAAUACCCGGUGGCAUCGCCGGGUGUUUAAAGGCGAAAGCCGGUUACGGAUAGGCUCGCGUGACAUUAGCUGGAUGGCGGGGUAACGGCCCACCAUGGCGACGAUGUCUAGGGGUUCUGAGAGGAAGGUCCCCCACACUGGUACUGAGACACGGACCAGACUCCUACGGGAGGCAGCAGUGAGGAAUAUUGGUCAAUGGGCGGAAGCCUGAACCAGCCAUGCCGCGUGAAGGAAUGAGGCCCUAUGGGUCGUAAACUUCUUUUGACGGGGAGCAAUAAGGCGUACGUGUACGCCGAUGAGAGUACUCGUCGAAUAAGCAUCGGCUAACUCCGUGCC